This 109-nucleotide Y RNA is filed under the name Prolemur simus (greater bamboo lemur). RNAcentral's name for it is "Y RNA (ENSPSMG00000022865.1)". It matches the Rfam family "Y RNA". Rfam says of the family: Y RNAs are components of the Ro ribonucleoprotein particle (Ro RNP), in association with Ro60 and La proteins. The Y RNAs and Ro60 and La proteins are well conserved, but the function of the Ro RNP is not known. The record is from Rfam by way of RNAcentral. Lineage: Eukaryota; Metazoa; Chordata; Mammalia; Primates; Lemuridae.
GACUGGUCUAAAGGUAGUGAGUGAAGUCAAUUGUUCACAGUCAGUUACAGAUCAAACUCCUUGUUUGACUCUUUCUCCCCUUCUCACGACUGCACUUGACUAGUGUAAA